RNAcentral lists this small nuclear RNA (21 nucleotides) under Arabidopsis thaliana (thale cress). RNAcentral's name for it is "snRNA_00002". The record is from RNAcentral. Lineage: Eukaryota; Viridiplantae; Streptophyta; Magnoliopsida; Brassicales; Brassicaceae.
AGUCAGAAGUAGCUGAUUAUA